ACUGUGCCUCUCCAAAAUCGUCGUCUCACCUCUUCCUCUUCACCUUCAUUGGUUUCGAUCGGGCUCUCCACUGAGCUUUGAUUCUCGAUCAGGCAUCGCACCAUCUCAGUGAGCGCGCGGGGGCACUACAAGCGGGCGUGGAGGCCAUCGACCACCACAUCGGCGACAUGGCUACGUCUAGGGCGAGGGCUCCGACAGAGGAAUGAGGAAGGGAAGGUGAGAAUGCCUCCCAGGAUAUGACAGAAGGCCUACGGACGGAGUAAACGAGGACGCGGGAUGGACGCAUGACACUGUCCGAUCGUUUUGGGAGUGCAGAGCAUACUUGUACAUUGUGAGAGAUUCUUCAUUGGUAUAGGAAGAUGUUAGAGGAUUCAUUACUCCUUUGUGUUAAACUCUUGUUUGAGGUGCUGUCAUUUACAUUGAAUAAUAUGAAUUGUACUAUGGUUAUUUUCA
Long non-coding RNA from Zingiber officinale, 453 nucleotides. RefSeq lists it as uncharacterized. The transcript has 2 exons. Lineage: Eukaryota; Viridiplantae; Streptophyta; Magnoliopsida; Zingiberales; Zingiberaceae. The record is from RefSeq and is a predicted model, not a curated record.